UUUAGGAGGAACCGCCAAGAACGUAGUUCUUGCUUGAAAUCGGUUCCGACGACUUGCCGUCUGGCGCAUGUGAGGGGGCACUACCUUUA
Small RNA from Clostridium sp. CAG:62, 89 nucleotides. It matches the Rfam family "GA-cis RNA". The record is from Rfam. Lineage: Bacteria; Bacillati; Bacillota; Clostridia; Eubacteriales; Clostridiaceae.